RNAcentral lists this ribosomal RNA (987 nucleotides) under uncultured bacterium. RNAcentral describes it as "bacterial SSU rRNA". It matches the Rfam family "Bacterial small subunit ribosomal RNA", at positions 515 to 1496 of the family's 1533-position model. The record is from RNAcentral.
CCGCGGUGAUACGGGGGGGGCAAGCGUUGUUCGGAAUUACUGGGCGUAAAGGGCGCGCAGGCGGCUUCGGAAGUCAUGGGUGAAAGCCCCAGGCUCAACCUGGGAAUUGCCUGUGAAACCACGGAGCUGGAGUGCUGGAGAGGGAAGCGGAAUUCCCAGUGUAGCGGUGAAAUGCGUAGAUAUUGGGAGGAACAUCUGAGGCGAAGGCGGCUUCCUGGACAGACACUGACGCUGAGGCGCGAAAGCCAGGGGAGCGAACGGGAUUAGAUACCCCGGUAGUCCUGGCUGUAAACGAUGAACACUUGGUGUGGGGGGUAGGAAAGUCCCUCUGUGCCGGAGAUAACUCAUUAAGUGUUCCGCCUGGGGAGUACGGCCGCAAGGCUGAAACUCAAAGGAAUUGACGGGGGCCCGCACAAGCGGUGGAGCAUGUGGUUUAAUUCGACGCAACGCGAAGAACCUUACCGGGGUUUGAACUGUACCGGCGACCUGCAGAGAUGUAGGGUUCCUUUCGGGGACGGGUACAGAGGUGCUGCAUGGCUGUCGUCAGCUCGUGUCGUGAGAUGUUGGGUUAAGUCCCGCAACGAGCGCAACCCUUGUCUGUAGUUGCCAUCAGGUUAAGCUGGGCACUCUACGGAGACUGUCGGCGAAAAGCCGGAGGAAGGUGGGGAUGACGUCAAGUCCUCAUGGCCUUUAUGUCCCGGGCUACACACGUGCUACAAUGGGCGGAUCAGAGGGCAGCGACCCUGCAAAGGCAAGCGAAUCCCAGAACUCCGCUCUCAGUUCGGAUUGCAGUCUGCAACUCGACUGCAUGAAGUUGGAAUCGCUAGUAAUCGCGGAUCAGAACGCCGCGGUGAAUACGUUCCCGGGCCUUGUACACACCGCCCGUCACAUCACGAAAGUGGGUUGUACUAGAAGCCGCCGGCCUAACCCUUCGGGGAGGGAGGCGUCGACGGUAUGAUCCAUGAUUGGGGUGAAGUCGUAACAAGG